Long non-coding RNA from Oncorhynchus tshawytscha (Chinook salmon), 1206 nucleotides. The record is from Ensembl. NCBI's taxonomy places the organism in Eukaryota, Metazoa, Chordata, Actinopteri, Salmoniformes, Salmonidae.
GGUUUAAUGAGUUUUGCUGAAUAGUCAAAAGAGUAGACCUGGUUUAUCAGAGUAUUGUUGAGGGGAUUGCCUGAUACCUGGUUUGUAUGGAUAUUUGGGCUGAGAUAUGCAGGUGUAGAUCUGCUUUAUAUUAGUAUUGGGAGUCAGUCAAAGGUGUAGACCUGUUUUUUAGGAGUACUGGAGCUGAGGUGCAGGCGUAGAACUGUUUUUUAGGAGUACUGGAGCUGAGGUGCAGGCAUAGAACUGUUUUUUUAAGAGUACUGGAGCUGAGGUGCAGGCGUAUAACUAUUUUUUAGGAGUACUGGAGCUGAGGUGCAGGUGUAGAACUAUUUUUUAGGAGUACUGGAGCUGAGGUGCAGGUGUAGAACUAUUUUUUAGGAGUACUGGAGCUGAGGUGCAGGUGUAGAACUGUUUUUUAAGAGUACUUGAGCUGAGGUGCAGGCGUAGAACAGUUGUUUAGGAGUACUGGAGCUGAGGUGCAGGGGUAGACCUGGUUUUUAGGAGUACUGGAGCUGAGGUGCAGGGGUAGACCUGGUUUACAGUUUAUACGUUUUCAGGCCUCGGCACAUUUAGACCUGGCUUAGUUAACUAAUUGGGUUCAAGCACAGGUGCAGACUUUGUAGGUAUGUACAUUGGAGCUGAAGUACUGGUGUUGACCUGUUCUGUAGGAAUAUUGGGUCUGAAGUAUAGACUUCGUUUGUAUACAUGUUGAGGCUUGGGCACUGGGGUAGACCUGUUUUAUAUGAGUAUGCCCAUGGAUGUACCUGGUUUAUAUGAGUAAUGUGGUGUAGGGAUACACAAGACUCAUACAGGUAAUGGGUUUGGAUGGAUCUAUUGCCCAUUCAUAUUCUUUCUGGCAACAAGUUUGUGGUAGGAAAAAAGCUGAUGGGUCUGGGGCAUAUUUGUUAUGGCACUGUACUAUAAAUGUAUCUGUGAAAUAAUUAGUGUAUACAGGUCAGUGGUCAUAGGACUAAGAUAUGCAAAUAACAGGGUUAGAUUGUGCAGCGAAUAGCUGGAUAUAGGUUACUGUUGGUGACUUGGGGAAUACAGGACUAAGGAAAGUGGGUAACAGGUCUGACAUGAGCAAGUAACAGGGAUGAAGUGUACUGGCAAAGGAACUGUGGUCUAUGAAUAACAAAUAGUGCAUUUAGAACUAGGAUAUAGGUGUAUUGGUACUUGAUUGUAUCAAUAUUAGGGUAUUGGCAU